Onychostoma macrolepis is the source of this 397-nucleotide long non-coding RNA. RefSeq lists it as uncharacterized. The transcript has 3 exons. NCBI's taxonomy places the organism in Eukaryota, Metazoa, Chordata, Actinopteri, Cypriniformes, Cyprinidae. The record is from RefSeq and is a predicted model, not a curated record.
CUCCAGUACUGUCCAUUCGACUUGCCAAAUUCACUGUCAUGCCCCAGAUAUCAUACUGGGGUUUGGUGGCACCGAUGACUCCAGCAACAACAGGGCCGUGGGCAAUUCCUAGGAGGGUCUCUUGCAUAGCCAGAGCGAACAGAACCAACUCACUGAGAUGAUGCCAGUCAUUUACAACACGAGACUGUCAGGAUAAAACAGAACAAUUUUGGUGCAUAGACAGUUGAUGGGAAAUUCCAAAUGUAUAUAAUCAAUGAACUUUUAAAGAGAGAACCAAAAACAAUGAUGGCUUUAUAAGAGAAAAACAACAGCAAAAAAUACAACCUUUCAUCAAAGUCCUACCUCAUCAAAGUCUGCAAUGAUCUCAUUGAGCAGUCUGAGACACUCAACUCCCCCG